GAUGAACGCUGGCGGCGUGCCUAAUACAUGCAAGUCGAGCGAACAGACGAGGAGCUUGCUCCUCUGACGUUAGCGGCGGACGGGUGAGUAACACGUGGAUAACCUACCUAUAAGACUGGGAUAACUUCGGGAAACCGGAGCUAAUACCGGAUAAUAUAUUGAACCGCAUGGUUCAAUAGUUAAAGACGGUUUUGCUGUCACUUAUAGAUGGAUCCGCGCCGCAUUAGCUAGUUGGUAAGGUAACGGCUUACCAAGGCAACGAUGCGUAGCCGACCUGAGAGGGUGAUCGGCCACACUGGAACUGAGCCACGGUCCAGACUCCUACGGGAGGCAGCAGUAGGGAAUCUUCCGCAAUGGGCGAAAGCCUGACGGAGCAACGCCGCGUGAGUGAUGAAGGUCUUCGGAUCGUAAAACUCUGUUAUUAGGGAAGAACAAAUGUGUAAGUAACUAUGCACGUCUUGACGGUACCUAAUCAGAAAGCCACGGCUAACUACGUG
This 497-nucleotide ribosomal RNA is filed under the name uncultured bacterium. RNAcentral's name for it is "partial 16S ribosomal RNA". It matches the Rfam family "Bacterial small subunit ribosomal RNA", at positions 28 to 507 of the family's 1533-position model. The record is from RNAcentral.